CGGAGCGUAGCGCAGCCUGGUAGCGCACCUGUCUCGGGGUCAGGUGGCCGGAGGUUCGAAUCCUCUCGCUCCGACCA
RNAcentral lists this transfer RNA (77 nucleotides) under Spongiibacteraceae bacterium. RNAcentral's name for it is "tRNA-Pro". It matches the Rfam family "tRNA". From Rfam's summary of the family: Transfer RNA (tRNA) molecules are approximately 80 nucleotides in length. Their secondary structure includes four short double-helical elements and three loops (D, anti-codon, and T loops). Further hydrogen bonds mediate the characteristic L-shaped molecular structure. tRNAs have two regions of fundamental functional importance: the anti-codon, which is responsible for specific mRNA codon recognition, and the 3' end, to which the tRNAs corresponding amino acid is attached (by aminoacyl-tRNA synthetases). tRNAs cope with the degeneracy of the genetic code in two manners: having more than one tRNA (with a specific anti-codon) for a particular amino acid; and 'wobble' base-pairing, i.e. permitting non-standard base-pairing at the 3rd anti-codon position. Lineage: Bacteria; Pseudomonadati; Pseudomonadota; Gammaproteobacteria; Cellvibrionales; Spongiibacteraceae. The record is from RNAcentral.